RNAcentral lists this ribosomal RNA (493 nucleotides) under Halomonas sp. M7-C3. Its description in RNAcentral is "bacterial SSU rRNA". It matches the Rfam family "Bacterial small subunit ribosomal RNA", at positions 1 to 492 of the family's 1533-position model. The record is from RNAcentral. Lineage: Bacteria; Pseudomonadati; Pseudomonadota; Gammaproteobacteria; Oceanospirillales; Halomonadaceae.
UUGAGUUUGAUCCUGGCUCAGAUUGAACGCUGGCGGCAGGCCUAACACAUGCAAGUCGAGCGGAAACGAUGGAAGCUUGCUUCCAGGCGUCGAGCGGCGGACGGGUGAGUAAUGCAUGGGAAUCUGCCCGAUAGUGGGGGAUAACCUGGGGAAACCCAGGCUAAUACCGCAUACGUCCUACGGGAGAAAGCAGGGGAUCUUCGGACCUUGCGCUAUCGGAUGAGCCCAUGUCGGAUUAGCUUGUUGGUGAGGUAAUGGCUCACCAAGGCGACGAUCCGUAGCUGGUCUGAGAGGAUGAUCAGCCACAUCGGGACUGAGACACGGCCCGAACUCCUACGGGAGGCAGCAGUGGGGAAUAUUGGACAAUGGGCGAAAGCCUGAUCCAGCCAUGCCGCGUGUGUGAAGAAGGCCCUCGGGUUGUAAAGCACUUUCAGUGGGGAAGAAAGCCUUGGGAUUAAUACUCCCGAGGAAGGACAUCACCCCAGAGAGACCG